RNAcentral lists this ribosomal RNA (254 nucleotides) under uncultured prokaryote. RNAcentral describes it as "partial 16S ribosomal RNA". It matches the Rfam family "Bacterial small subunit ribosomal RNA", at positions 525 to 777 of the family's 1533-position model. The record is from RNAcentral.
ACGGGGGGAGCAAGCGUUGUUCGGAUUUACUGGGCGUAAAGGGCGCGUAGGCGGCCAGCGCAAGUCAGUUGUGAAAUCUCCGGGCUUAACUCGGAAAGGUCAACUGAUACUGCGCGGCUAGAGUGCAGAAGGGGCAACUGGAAUUCUCGGUGUAGCGGUGAAAUGCGUAGAUAUCAAGUGGAACACCAGUGGCGAAGGCGAAUCCCUGGAAAAUACCUGACACUGAGGCACGAAAGCUAGGGGAGCAAACAGGA